AAAUGAAUUGACGGGGGCCCGCACAAGCGGUGGAGCAUGUGGCUUAAUUCGAUGCAACGCGAAGAACCUUACCUGGGUUUGACAUGUAUUGGGCGAUCUGCUGAAAGGCGGGUUUCUCUUCGGAGCCGAUACACAGGUGCUGCAUGGCUGUCGUCAGCUCGUGUCGUGAGAUGUUCGGUUAAGUCCGGCAACGAGCGCAACCCUCGCGGAUAGUUACUAACAGGCAAAGCUGAGGACUCUAUUCGGACAAACCUCAAUUAGAGGUGGGAAGGUGGGGAUGACGUCAAGUCAGCAUGGCCCUUACAUCCAGGGCUGCACACGUGCUACAAUGCGCAGUACAGAGGGAGGCGAUACCGUGAGGUGGAGCAAAUCUCGAAAGCUGCGCUCAGUUCAGAUUGGAGUCUGCAACUCGACUCCAUGAAGUUGGAAUCGCUAGUAAAGGCGUAUCAGCUACGACGCCUUGAAUACGUUCCCGGGCCUUGUACACACCGCCCGU
RNAcentral lists this ribosomal RNA (496 nucleotides) under uncultured bacterium. Its description in RNAcentral is "bacterial SSU rRNA". It matches the Rfam family "Bacterial small subunit ribosomal RNA", at positions 903 to 1397 of the family's 1533-position model. The record is from RNAcentral.